Molecule: ribosomal RNA, 566 nt
Filed under: uncultured bacterium
Lineage: Bacteria
Description: partial 16S ribosomal RNA
Rfam family: Bacterial small subunit ribosomal RNA
Source: RNAcentral
UAAGGAAUAUUGGUCAAUGGACGAAAGUCUGAACCAGCCAUGCCGCGUGGAGGAUGAAGGUCCUCUGGAUUGUAAACUUCUUUUAUCUGGGACGAAAAAAGGUCUUUCUAGAUCGUCUGACGGUACCAGAUGAAUAAGCACCGGCUAACUCCGUGCCAGCAGCCGCGGUAAUACGGAGGGUGCAAGCGUUAUCCGGAUUCACUGGGUUUAAAGGGUGCGUAGGUGGGUUGGUAAGUCAGUGGUGAAAUCUUCGAGCUUAACUCGGAAACUGCCAUUGAUACUAUCAGUCUUGAAUAUUGUGGAGGUUAGCGGAAUAUGUCAUGUAGCGGUGAAAUGCUUAGAUAUGACAUAGAACACCAAUUGCGAAGGCAGCUGGCUACACAUAUAUUGACACUGAGGCACGAAAGCGUGGGGAUCAAACAGGAUUAGAUACCCUGGUAGUCCACGCCCUAAACUAUGGAUACUCGACAUACGCGAUACACUGUGUGUGUCUGAGCGAAAGCAUUAAGUAUCCCCACCUGGGGAAGUACGAUCGCAAGAUUGAAACUCAAAUAAAUGACGGGGUC